UACGUAGGGUGCGAGCGUUAAUCGGAAUUACUGGGCGUAAAGCGUGCGCAGGCGGUUCGCAAAGUCUGAUGUGAAAGCCCCGGGCUCAACCUGGGAAUUGCAUUGGAAACUGACGAGCUUGAGUGUGGCUGAGGGGGGUGGAAUUCCACGUGUAGCAGUGAAAUGCGUAGAGAUGUGGAGGAACACCGAUGGCGAAGGCAGCCCCCUGGGCUAACACUGACGCUCAGGCACGAAAGCGUGGGGAGCAAACAGG
Molecule: ribosomal RNA, 253 nt
Filed under: uncultured bacterium
Lineage: Bacteria
Description: partial 16S ribosomal RNA
Rfam family: Bacterial small subunit ribosomal RNA
Source: RNAcentral